UCCUUGAGGUCCAACGCUUGAUUCCUUCUACUAGCAUUAUUUUGUUUUCCUAUUUCUUUUUUAUUUAAUAUUUAUUAUUAAUUUUCAAUGUAAUAAUAGAAUUUAAUAUUUAUUAAGAAACUAUUUUUCUGGAGAAGGGCCCGUCGAGUGAGAUAAUGAACGAUGCCCCGAUAAUCCUGCAGCUAUGGGGAACAGGGGUUAUCCAUUUCAUAGCGUAGGCGAGGGUGGGUGAACGAAGUGAAUUGUUACGCUCUAACAGUGAGAGA
Molecule: long non-coding RNA, 266 nt
Filed under: Nicotiana benthamiana
Lineage: Eukaryota; Viridiplantae; Streptophyta; Magnoliopsida; Solanales; Solanaceae
Description: long non-coding RNA (NBEN_LNC004659)
Source: RNAcentral